UACAGAGGGGGCAAGCGUUGUCCGGAAUUAUUGGGCGUAAAGCGCGCGCAGGCGGUCCUUUAAGUCUGAUGUGAAAGCCCACGGCUCAACCGUGGAGGGUCAUCGGAAACUGGGGGACUUGAGUACAGAAGAGAAGAGUGGAAUUCCACGUGUAGCGGUGAAAUGCGUAGAGAUGUGGAGGAACACCAGUGGCGAAGGCGACUCUUUGGUCUGUAACUGACGCUGAGGCGCGAAAGCGUGGGGAGCAAACAGG
Molecule: ribosomal RNA, 253 nt
Filed under: uncultured bacterium
Lineage: Bacteria
Description: partial 16S ribosomal RNA
Rfam family: Bacterial small subunit ribosomal RNA
Source: RNAcentral